AAGGUGAAAAGCACCCCGUCAAGGGGAGUGAAAUAGUUCCUGAAACCCUGUCGCCUAUAAGCAGUGGAAGCACGGCUGGGGGCUUGCCCCCAUGUGUAACCACGUGCCUUUUGCAUGAGCCAACGAGUUAUGGUCUGCAGCAAGGUUAAGCCAUAAGGUGGAGCCGAAGCGAAAGCGAGUCUGAACAAGGCGCCCAUAAGUUGCAGGUCAUAGACCCGAAACCGAGUGAUCUAUCCCUGUCCAGGUUGAAGCCUGGGUAAGACCAGGUGGAGGACCGAACCAGUGUGCCUUAAAAAGCGCUUGGAUGAGGUGGGGAUAGGA
Molecule: ribosomal RNA, 321 nt
Filed under: uncultured Vexilliferidae
Lineage: Eukaryota; Discosea; Flabellinia; Dactylopodida; Vexilliferidae
Description: partial Bacterial large subunit ribosomal RNA
Rfam family: Bacterial large subunit ribosomal RNA
Source: RNAcentral